Molecule: ribosomal RNA, 312 nt
Filed under: uncultured bacterium
Lineage: Bacteria
Description: bacterial SSU rRNA
Rfam family: Bacterial small subunit ribosomal RNA
Source: RNAcentral
GAUGAACGCUGGCGGCGUGCUUAACACAUGCAAGUCGAACGGAGUUACAUGAAACCUAGUGAUUGUAACUUAGUGGCGGACGGGUGAGUAACGCGUGGGUAACCUGGCGUAUACAGGGGGAUAACACUUAGAAAUAGGUGCUAAUACCGCAUAAGCGCACGAAUUCGCAUGAAUUUGUGUGAAAACUAAGGUGGUAUACGAUGGACCCGCGUCUGAUUAGCUAGUUGGUGAGGUAACGGCCCACCAAGGCGACGAUCAGUAGCCGGCCUGAGAGGGUGAACGGCCACAUUGGGACGUGAGACACGGCCCAAA